This 672-nucleotide ribosomal RNA is filed under the name uncultured fungus. RNAcentral's name for it is "eukaryotic LSU rRNA". It matches the Rfam family "Eukaryotic large subunit ribosomal RNA", at positions 24 to 664 of the family's 3401-position model. Lineage: Eukaryota; Fungi. The record is from RNAcentral.
CCCGCUGAACUUAAGCAUAUCAAUAAGCGGAGGAAAAGAAACUAACAAGGAUUCCCUUAGUAACUGCGAGUGAAGUGGGAAAAGCUCAAAUUUAAAAUCUGGCAGUCUGAAUUUACUUCUUUGGCUGUCCAAGUUGUAAUCUAGAGAAGUGCUACCUGUACUGGACCAUGUAUAAGUCUCCUGGGAUGGAGCAUCACAGAGGGUGAGAAUCCCGUCUAUGACAUGGACUACCAGUGUGUUGUGGAGUACUUUCAAAGAGUCGAGUUGUUUGGGAAUGCAGCUCUAAAUGGGUGGUAAACUCCAUCUAAAGCUAAAUAUUGGCGAGAGACCGAUAGUGAACAAGUACCGUGAGGGAAAGAUGAAAAGGACUUUGGAAAGAGAGUUAAACAGUACGUGAAAUUGUUGAAAGGGAAACACUUGGUGUCAGUUGUGUUAGCUGGGGAUCAGCCUAGCUUUUUCGCUUGGUGAAUUUCCUGGUCUGACAGGCCAACAUCAGUUUCGACUGUUGGAGAAAGGCAGACGGAAUGUGGCACCUUUGGGUGUGUUAUAGCUUUCUGUCAGAUGUAGCAGUCGGGACCGAGGAACGCAGCGCGCCUUACGGCCGGGGUUCGCUCUCGGUACGCGCUUAGGAUGCUGGCAUAAUGGCUUUAAGCGACCCGUCUUGAAACACGG